ACGCUGGCGGCAGGCCUAACACAUGCAAGUCGAGCGGUAGAGAGAAGCUUGCUUCUCUUGAGAGCGGCGGACGGGUGAGUAAUGCCUAGGAAUCUGCCUGGUAGUGGGGGAUAACGCUCGGAAACGGACGCUAAUACCGCAUACGUCCUACGGGAGAAAGCAGGGGACCUUCGGGCCUUGCGCUAUCAGAUGAGCCUAGGUCGGAUUAGCUAGUUGGCGAGGUAAUGGCUCACCAAGGCGACGAUCCGUAACUGGUCUGAGAGGAUGAUCAGUCACACUGGAACUGAGACACGGUCCAGACUCCUACGGGAGGCAGCAGUGGGGAAUAUUGGACAAUGGGCGAAAGCCUGAUCCAGCCAUGCCGCGUGUGUGAAGAAGGUCUUCGGAUUGUAAAGCACUUUAAGUUGGGAGGAAGGGCAGUAAAUUAAUACUUUGCUGUUUUGACGUUACCGACAGAAUAAGCACCGGCUAACUCUGUGCCAGCAGCCGCGGUAAUACAGAGGGUGCAAGCGUUAAUCGGAAUUACUGGGCGUAAAGCGCGCGUAGGUGGUUCGUUAAGUUGGAUGUGAAAUCCCCGGGCUCAACCUGGGAACUGCAUUCAAAACUGUCGAGCUAGAGUAUGGUAGAGGGUGGUGGAAUUUCCUGUGUAGCGGUGAAAUGCGUAGAUAUAGGAAGGAACACCAGUGGCGAAGGCGACCACCUGGACUGAUACUGACACUGGGGUGCGAAAGCGUGGGGAGCAAAC
Molecule: ribosomal RNA, 745 nt
Filed under: uncultured bacterium
Lineage: Bacteria
Description: bacterial SSU rRNA
Rfam family: Bacterial small subunit ribosomal RNA
Source: RNAcentral